This 64-nucleotide transfer RNA is filed under the name Amblyomma maculatum (Gulf Coast tick). Its description in RNAcentral is "tRNA-Ser". Lineage: Eukaryota; Metazoa; Arthropoda; Arachnida; Ixodida; Ixodidae. The record is from RNAcentral.
GACUUUUUAACUAUUUAAGUAUAUAUUUUGAAAAUAUAAAAAAGAGAUAAUUCUCUAUAAGUCU